AUUGAACGCUGGCGGAAUGCUUAACACAUGCAAGUCGAACGGUAACGAUGGUAGCUUGCUACCAGGCGACGAGUGGCGGACGGGUGAGUACAACUUAGGAAUCUGCCCAGUAGUGGGGGACAACUCGGGGAAACUCGAGCUAAUACCGCGUACGCCCUUCGGGGGAAAGCAGGGGAUCUUCGGACCUUGCGCUAUUGGAUGAGCCUAAGCCGGAUUAGCUUGUUGGUGGGGUAAAAGCCUACCAAGGCGACGAUCCGUAGCUGGUCUGAGAGGACGAUCAGCCACACUGGGACUGAGACACGGCCCAG
RNAcentral lists this ribosomal RNA (308 nucleotides) under uncultured bacterium. Its description in RNAcentral is "bacterial SSU rRNA". It matches the Rfam family "Bacterial small subunit ribosomal RNA", at positions 30 to 334 of the family's 1533-position model. The record is from RNAcentral.